This 375-nucleotide ribosomal RNA is filed under the name uncultured Veillonellaceae bacterium. Its description in RNAcentral is "bacterial SSU rRNA". It matches the Rfam family "Bacterial small subunit ribosomal RNA", at positions 173 to 524 of the family's 1533-position model. Lineage: Bacteria; Bacillati; Bacillota; Negativicutes; Veillonellales; Veillonellaceae. The record is from RNAcentral.
UACGUCUUUCAUCGCAUGGUGAGAAGAAGAAAAGGACGGCCUCUACACAAAGGCGGUCGCCGAAGGAGGGGUUUGCGUCUGAUUAGCUAGGUUGGAGGGGUAACGGCCCAACAGGCGACGAUCAGUAGCCCCGGUCUGAGAGGAUGAACGGCCACAUUGGGACUGAGACACGGCCCAGACUCCUACGGGAGGCAGCAGUGGGAAUCUUCCGCAAUGGACGAAAGUCUGACGGAGCAACGCCGCGUGAGUGAAGACGGUCUUCGGAUUGUAAAGCUCUGUUAUACGGGACGAACGGCAAGGUGGUAAAUAGCCAUCAUGAGUGACGGUACCGUAAGAGAAAGCCACGGCUAACUACGUGCCAGCAGCCGCGGUAAU